ACGGGAGGCAGCAGUGGGGAAUAUUGCACAAUGGGCGAAAGCCUGAUGCAGCGACGCCGCGUGAACGAUGAAGUAUUUCGGUAUGUAAAGUUCUAUCAGCAGGGAAGAAAAAUGACGGUACCUGACUAAGAAGCACCGGCUAAAUACGUGCCAGCAGCCGCGGUAAUACGUAUGGUGCAAGCGUUAUCCGGAUUUACUGGGUGUAAGGGGAGCGCAGGCGGUACGGCAAGUCUGAUGUGAAAGCCCGGGGCUCAACCCCGGUACUGCAUUGGAAACUGUCGAACUAGAGUGUCGGAGGGGUAAGCGGAAUUCCUAGUGUAGCGGUGAAAUGCGUAGAUAUUAGGAGGAACACCAGUGGCGAAGGCGGCUUACUGGACGAUAACUGACGCUGAGGCUCGAAAGCGUGGGGAGCAAACAGGAUUAGAUACCCUGGUA
Molecule: ribosomal RNA, 435 nt
Filed under: uncultured Lachnospiraceae bacterium
Lineage: Bacteria; Bacillati; Bacillota; Clostridia; Lachnospirales; Lachnospiraceae
Description: partial 16S ribosomal RNA
Rfam family: Bacterial small subunit ribosomal RNA
Source: RNAcentral